UACGGAGGGAGCGAGCGUUGUUCGGAAUUACUGGGCGUAAAGGGUGCGCAGGCGGCUAUGCAAGUCGGAAGUGAAAUCCCAGGGCUUAACCCUGGAAUUGCUUUCGAAACUGCAUAGCUCGAGUCUCGGAGAGGUUAGCGGAAUUCCCAGUGUAGAGGUGAAAUUCGUAGAUAUUGGGAGGAACACCAGUGGCGUAAGCGGCUAACUAGACGAGUACUGACGCUCAAGCACGAAAGCGUGGGGAUCAAACAGG
Molecule: ribosomal RNA, 253 nt
Filed under: uncultured bacterium
Lineage: Bacteria
Description: partial 16S ribosomal RNA
Rfam family: Bacterial small subunit ribosomal RNA
Source: RNAcentral